CCAGCUAGCUUGCUGCAGCGAGGUGUUUUUCGGCUGAAAGGCGCCCCCUGGGUCCUAAGUCUCCUAUACCCUGCAAGAUGACUAACCCUGAGCCAACAGAGGAACUCGGCCAAGUGAAGAGAGGCAAAGAGGUUCAGGCUGUGCUCAGCAACGGAUCAGUGUGAGACUUGCACUGGCUGCAUCCCCAGGGUUUUCAUCUCUUCUGUUUCCAUUUGUUUACUUCCUCCACCUAAGUCUUGGAUGGGGAUCCAAGGGUUGGAAUCAGCUUCUUCCAAACUUCCGUUAAUGUUGCUAUCUUGACCUCUUCCCAUGAAUCACAAGUGUUCUUAAUGGCAUCUAGAAUGGGGAGGCUGCUGCGAUUCUCAAAGGUUCUGCACAAGGCAGCCAGUCUGGGAUGCUGCCACACAGGGGAGGACAGCGGUCGGUCAGCCUCGCAGAGCAGUAGCCAGUCAACAGAGAGGCCACCGCUCCCCAAGGCUGUCAGGUAGGAAGCCCUCCCCUCCCAGCCUUGUCCCCGGCCCUCCCAGAGAGGAGUGGGUAGGGCGUGGUGGACGGUGGGCCACGUGCCGCCAACCCCCCUGCUCAAACCACUUGGGCCAUGGCCACGUCUAGCUUCCCUGGGGGAAGCAGGGCAAGAACUUUGAGGGGAGCUUGAGAUGGAUAUUUUAAGAAUAUUUUUAUUUAUGUAAACAUUUAAAAUCAAUUAAAUGGCAGAAGGAGACUAUUCUAUUUCCAAAGGAGCUAAGAACCUGUGGCAUCUAUCAGUAAGCCUACCCAGUGAGAAAAAGGUAUUGACCACCGUGUCACUGAGGGCAGCUACUGAAAAAGAUUUAAAAACUCUACAUGUAUACAGGAUGAGAUGUCCCUGUAGUUUCAUUUCCUUCCAGUCUUUUUCCAUGCAUCUUUUUAACAUUGUUCAGAUCUUACUACCAAGGCAGUUUCAUUGUUUCAUAACCACUUUUAACAUAAACAUUUCUCACGUAUUAAGCAUUUGUUGUAAUCAUCAUUUUUAAAUGGUUGUAUAAGAACCAGAGCUUUAGGCUUCUUCCUCAUAUUACAUACAUCUGUGUGUGUUAAGCUUUUUAGGAUUACUGUAGCUCCUAUUAUAGAUAGCUCCCUACAAGCAGAAUUACUGAUUUAGGGACAUGAACAAAAAGUUUCUAGACUCUUGAUAAAUUAAAUUCUAACAAAUUAUUUUCCAAAAAAGUUCUGCCAUCAAUAAACGAAAGUAAGAGUGAGCCAUGGAACCAAGGUCUUCUGACUCUAAAUCUCAGGCUUUUAAUUCUGUGCUAGACUUCUGAGCCUCAGUUUUGUUAUUUGUGAAAUACAGAUAGCUGCAUCUGUCAGGAUCAUGACACUCACAGCUGUUUGUGCUCGAAGCACGUCCCGAGAUCCCAAGACCUCAAGGUGUCUGAACACUGUCACCACGUACAAAUGUUUGUCUACCUUCCUACUGUACAAUCAAAGCAAGAAACAAACGUUUGUGAUACAGUGGGCGCUGAAGACACCAUUGCCAUGGCCCUGAUAUCAAGCGUCUGUGCGUCAGGAGAAGCCUUGCAAUUUUGUAUCUUUUAUGUCAUGUUUCAAAGUUGAACAGAACAAUUUACACUAAUGAAAUACUACUUUUAUCUUA
Long non-coding RNA from Manis pentadactyla (Chinese pangolin), 1633 nucleotides. RefSeq lists it as uncharacterized. NCBI's taxonomy places the organism in Eukaryota, Metazoa, Chordata, Mammalia, Pholidota, Manidae. The transcript is spliced from 4 exons. The record is from RefSeq and is a predicted model, not a curated record.